GACGAACGCUGGCGGCGUGCUUAACACAUGCAAGUCGAACGGAAAGGCCCUGCUUUUGUGGGGUGCUCGAGUGGCGAACGGGUGAGUAACACGUGUGUAACCUGCCCUUGACUUUGGGAUAACUUCAGGAAACUGGGGCUAAUACCGGAUAGGAGCUCCUGCUGCAUGGUGGGGGUUGGAAAGUUUCGGCGGUUGGGGAUGGACUCGCGGCUUAUCAGCUUGUUGGUGGGGUAGUGGCUUACCAAGGCUUUGACGGGUAGCCGGCCUGAGAGGGUGACCGGGCACAUGGGGACUGAGAUACGGCCCAGACUCCUACGGGGGGCAGCAGUGGGGAAUAUUGCACAAUGGGCGGAAGCCUGAUGCAGCAACGCCGCGUGCGGGAUGACGGCCUUCGGGUUGUAAACCGCUUUCGCCUGUGACGAAGCGUGAGUGACGGUAAUGGGUAAAGAAGCACCGGCUAACUACGUG
RNAcentral lists this ribosomal RNA (468 nucleotides) under uncultured bacterium. RNAcentral describes it as "partial 16S ribosomal RNA". It matches the Rfam family "Bacterial small subunit ribosomal RNA", at positions 28 to 507 of the family's 1533-position model. The record is from RNAcentral.